This 587-nucleotide ribosomal RNA is filed under the name uncultured bacterium. RNAcentral describes it as "bacterial SSU rRNA". It matches the Rfam family "Bacterial small subunit ribosomal RNA", at positions 338 to 916 of the family's 1533-position model. The record is from RNAcentral.
CCUACGGGAGGCAGCAGUAGGGAAUCUUCCGCAAUGGACGAAAGUCUGACGGAGCAACGCCGCGUGAGUGAUGAAGGUUUUCGGAUCGUAAAACUCUGUUGUUAGGGAAGAACAAGUACCGGAGUAACUGCCGGUACCUUGACGGUACCUAACCAGAAAGCCACGGCUAACUACGUGCCAGCAGCCGCGGUAAUACGUAGGUGGCAAGCGUUGUCCGGAAUUAUUGGGCGUAAAGCGCGCGCAGGCGGUCCUUUAAGUCUGAUGUGAAAGCCCACGGCUCAACCGUGGAGGGUCAUUGGAAACUGGGGGACUUGAGUACAGAAGAGAAGAGUGGAAUUCCACGUGUAGCGGUGAAAUGCGUAGAGAUGUGGAGGAACACCAGUGGCGAAGGCGACUCUUUGGUCUGUAACUGACGCUGAGGCGCGAAAGCGUGGGGAGCAAACAGGAUUAGAUACCCUGGUAGUCCACGCUGUAAACGAUGAGUGCUAAGUGUUAGAGGGUUUCCGCCCUUUAGUGCUGCAGCUAACGCAUUAAGCACUCCGCCUGGGGAGUACGGCCGCAAGGCUGAAACUCAAAGGAAUUGACGG